RNAcentral lists this ribosomal RNA (523 nucleotides) under uncultured Glomus. Its description in RNAcentral is "SSU rRNA". It matches the Rfam family "Eukaryotic small subunit ribosomal RNA", at positions 569 to 1092 of the family's 1831-position model. Lineage: Eukaryota; Fungi; Glomeromycota; Glomeromycetes; Glomerales; Glomeraceae. The record is from RNAcentral.
AGCAGCCGCGGUAAUUCCAGCUCCAAUAGCGUAUAUUAAAGUUGUUGCAGUUAAAAAGCUCGUAGUUGAAUUUCGGGAUCAAUACGUCGGUCGUGCUUUCGGGUACGUACUGGCGUCAUUGGUUUCUCCUUUCUGACGAGCCAUGAUGUCAUUAAUUUGGUGUUAUGGGGAGUUAGGACUGUUACUUUGAAAAAAUUAGAGUGUUUAAAGCAGGCAUUAGCUUGAAUACAUUAGCAUGGAAUAAUGAAAUAGGACGUUCGAUCCUAUUUUGUUGGUUUCUAGGAUCAACGUAAUGAUUAAUAGGGAUAGUUGGGGGCAUUAGUAUUCAAUUGUCAGAGGUGAAAUUCUUGGAUUUAUUGAAGACUAACUACUGCGAAAGCAUUUGCCAAGGAUGUUUUCAUUAAUCAAGAACGAAAGUUAGGGGAUCGAAGACGAUCAGAUACCGUCGUAGUCUUAACCAUAAACUAUGCCGACUAGGGAUCGGAUGAUGUUAAUUUUUUAAUGACUCAUUCGGCGCCUUACG